UCCACUAGCCCCUCACACCUCCCCCUGCAGGAAGCCUCCUGGCACAGGGAUUUCACCCUCUGUUCCUUCCUCUCUGUUGUCCCUCUACCUGGAGCUCCCAUCCUGGUCUCACUCGACUUUGCCCUUCACGAGAAUGUUUCGCGAGAAUCCCAAGGGUAUCCUUCCCACGCCCAUGGCCGUGGUGUUCCUAAGGCUUCUGGAAGGUAGGACCCUGUCUGCUUUCCUCGGUUUCUCCAGCAGCCUGGGGCCAGGAGAAGGGCAGCACUACGAGAAAGAAGGGGAAUGGGAAAGCCAUUUGCUUCCUUAAAGAUGGCGGGAAGCUGUUUGAAUUAUAUCGGUCAGCCAUCACCGGAGGGGGCAGAUUUGUGAGUUUUUCCCCAAAGAGAGCUUUCUUUUUUCUUUUUUUUUUUGUUUUUCAACUUUUAUUUUCAGCUCAGGAGGUACAUGCGCAGGUUUGUAACAUGGGUAAAGUGCGUGUCACUGGGGUUUGAUGUACAAAUGGUUUCGUUACCGGGGUAGUGAGCAUACUACCUGAUACGAAGUUUGUUGAUGCUCACUCUCCUCCCAGCCUCCACCCUCAAGUAGGCCCGGUGUCUGUUAUUCCCCUCUGUGUCCAUGGGGACUUCAUUUAUAAAGUGAGAUAAAUAAGAACGUGUGGCGUGAGCCACUGCGCCUGGCCCCACAUAUAUCUCUUGUACCACAAUGAUAAUAAUAGUAAUAGCUUACACAUACCUAGCACUUUACAAAGAGUGUCUACAUGCCUGUGUAUCUGAUAACUGCUAAAAAGAAGGAAUUAAUAUUUGUUGAGCAGAAAUGAUUGAAUACAUGCAGCAAAGCCAGCCCCUCAUUUUCCUCAAACAACACUUUUAAUUUAUGUAGUGAUAGGAAGUUUUUAGGGAGAUGAAGUGAAAACUCAAUUAAAAGUCAGGAGUCCUGAGUUUGACCUUAUUUCCUUAUUUAUAAAACUGGGACGUGACCUAUUCUUGCCUUUUCCACAAUGAGAUAUGCUAUUCUGACCAGCACAGAUGAUAUGAUUUUGUAGAAACUCUCCCCCAUUAUAAAAUUAUAAAUUAUUGAAUUAUAAAGCAACAACAAAGACAGAAUGGCUUUAAUGCAGAGAUAGUCAAAUUGACCAAAGGAAUGGGAGGAAAUAUCUUGAAAAGGACCCAGGCUACUUGUGGUAGCUCACGCCUGUAAUCUCAGCAUUUUGGGAGGCCAAGGCAGGAGGAUCACUUGAGCCCAGGAGGAGGAGACCAGCCUGGGCAGUGUGGCAAAACCUUGUCUCUACAAAAACUCAGAAAACUUAGCUGGGCAUGGUGGGACAUGCCUGUAGUCCCAGCUAAUCAGGAGGCUGAGGUGGGAGGAUCACUUGAGCCCAGGAGGUUGAGGCUACAGUGAGUCAUGAUCACACCACGCUACUCCAGCCUGAAUGUCAGAGUGAGACCUUGUCUGGAAGAAAAAGACUCACAUGUAUAUCUUUUCAUCCAAAGAUAUUGUAAAGAAAGCAGAAGGCCAACCCGCAAACUGAAAGAAGAUAUCUGCAUCCACAUAACUGACAAUGGACUAGUGCUGUGGUUUGAAAGUCCUCUGCAAAACACUUGGGGAAAUUAUUUAUUUUUGUUUUAUUAUUAUUAGUAGUAGUAGUAUUAGAGUCAGAGUCUUGCUGUGUUGCCCAGGCUGGAGUGCAGUGGUGCAAUCAAAGCUCACUAAAACCUUGAACUUCUGGGUUCAAGUGAUCCUCCUGGCUCAACCUCCUGAGUAGCUGGGACCAAAGCCAUGUGCCACCAUGCCUGGCUAAUUUUUUAUUUUCUGUAGUGAUGGAGUCUCACUGUGUUGCCCAGGCUAGUCUUGAACUCCUGGCCUCAAGCAGUCCUUCUGCCUUGUUCUCCCAGAGUGCUGGGAUUGCAGGCAUGAGCCACCACACCUGGCCUUCACGUUGAAAUUUAAUUGCAUUGUGGUAGUAUUAAGAGGUGGAACCUUUAAGAGGCAAUUAGUUAAUGAGUGAUCUGUCCUCAUAAAUGUAUUAAUGACAUUACUGGGGGAGUGGGUUAGUUAUCAUGGGAGUGGGUUUGUGAUAUAAGGGUGAAGUUCAGCUCCCAUCUGUUCUUGUUCUUGCACCUUCCACCAUGGGAUGAGACAGCAUGAAGGCCCUCAUGUGCCAGAUCCUGUGCCAUGCUUUUGGACUUCACAGCCUUCAGAACUAUAAGCCUAAAAAACUUCUAGUGUUUAUACAUUAGUCAAUCUGUGGUAUUGUUAUAGCAUCAGAAAACAAACUAAGACAACUAGUAUUGAGAAUAUAGAAAGAUUUCCUACAAAUAAAUAAGAAAAAGAGCACUCUAUAAUACAGUGAAUAAAAAACUUGAGCAAACAUUUCACAGAUGAGAUAUGAACAACCAAUAAACAUUUGAAAAGGUGCUCAAAUUUCUUAGAAAUUAGGAAAUACAAAAUAAGUCCACAACACUUUUAUACUCACUUGUGUUGUGGAAGUCAGGAACCCCAAACUGAGGGACUGGCUGAAGCCAUGGCAGAAGAACAUAAAUUGUGAAGAUUUCAUGGACAUUUAUUAGUUCCCCAAAUUAAUACUUUUAUAAUUUCUUAUGCCUGUCUUUACUGCAGUCUCUGAACAUAAAUUGUGAAGAUUUAAUGGACAUUUAUCACUUCCCCAGUCAAUACUCUUGUGAUUUCCUAUGCCUGUCUUUAAUCUCUUAAUCCCGUCAUCUUUGUAAGCUAGGAUGUAUGUCGCCUCAGGACCCUGUGAUGAUUGCGUUAACUGCACAAAUUGUUUGUAGAGCAUGUGUGUUUGAACAAUAUGAAAUCUGGGCACCUUAAGAACAGGAUAAAAGCGAUUUUCAGGGAACAAGGGUUAGAUAACCUUAAAGUCUGGCUGCCUGUGGGCCGUGCGGGACAGAGCCAUAUUUCUCUUAUUACCAAAAAUGGGUAAGAGAAAUAUCGCUGAAUUCUUUCCUCAGUAAGGAAUAUUAAUAAUUAACAGCCCUGGGAAAAGAAUGCAUUCCCAGGGCCGGGCCUCUAAAAUGGCCACCCUGGGAGUAUCUGCCUUAUGCAGAUGUAGAUAGGGAUGAAAUGCGCCCUAGUCUCCUGCAGCGCCCCCAGGCUUGCUAGGAUUAGGAAAUUCCAGCCUGGCAAAUUCUAGUCAGACCGGUUCUCUGUUCUUGAACCUUGACAAUGCGUGCACAGCAGGACAUGGAAGUUCAUUAGUGAUUCUGGUUUCACCCUGACCUUUUGCCUUGUGAUCUUUUGUUGCCCUUGAAGCAUGUGAUCUCUGUGACCCACACCCUAUUCGUGCACUCCCUCCCCUUUGAAAAUUGCUAAUAAAAACUUGCUGGUUUUAUGGCUCAGGGGGCAUCACGGAACCUGCCGACAUGUGAUGUCUCCCCCAGACACCCAGCUUUAAAUUUUCUCUCUUUUGUACUCUUCCCCUUUAUUUCUCAGACUGGCGGGCACUUAGGGAAAAUAGAAAAUAACCCACGUGAAAUAUCGGGGGCUGAAUUUCCCCCAAUACUUGAACAGCAAAAAUUUAAGUCUAUCAUGUGUUGGUGAGGUCAAAGAGCAUGUCUUGCGAGUGGGAAUGUCAUUGGUACUACCACUUGGAAAACCAUUUGGAAUUACCUUGUAAUGUAAUGCCCAACCUUGUUUCUUCCUUUAUUCACCUAGCCUUGUUUCUCCCUUAGCUAAGAGAACCAGACAAACUCCAUUUUGGCUCUUUCACUGGCAGCCCCUUCCUCAAGGACUUAACUUGUGCAAGCUGACUCCCAGCACAUCCAAGAAUGCAAUUAACUGAUAAGAUACUGUGGCAAGCUAUAUCCACAGUCCCCAAGAAUUCAUCUGAUUGACAACGCCCAAAGCCCCUAGUCUAUCACCUUGUAAUAGUCUUAAAGCCCCUGCACCUGGAACUGUUUACGUUCCUAUAACCAUUUAUCCUUUUAACUUUUUGACUACUUAACUUCUGGAAAAUUGUUCUAAGUAGACCCCCCCCUCAUCUUCCUAAACCAAGGUAUAAAAGUUAAUCAAGCCCCUUCCUCGGGGCCGAGAGAAUUUUGAGCGUUAGCCGUCUCUCGGUCGCCGGCUAAGGCUAAUAAAGGACUCUUAAUUUGUCUCAAAGUGUGGCGUUCUCUCUAACUCGCUCAGGUACAACAGUAUGAUACAUUGAAGAUGGCCACAUUUUCUGAUGCUGUUCCCAUUGAGAGGUUGAGUCCCUUCUCCUUAAAUGUGGGCUGGUCUUAGGGACUUCUUGGCCAAUAGAAUGCAGCAGAAGUAGCCGGGUGCAGUGGCUCAUGCUUGUAAUCCCAGCACUUUGGGAGGCUGAGGCAGGUGGAUCACGAGGUCAGGAGUUCGAGACCAGCCUGGCCAACAUGGUGAAACCCCGUCUCUACUAAACAUAAAAAAAUUGUCCGGGUGUUGUGGCACAUGCCUGUAGUCCCAGAUACUUGGGAGGCUGAGGCAGGAUAAUCGCUUGAACCCGGGAGGCGGAGGCUGCGGUGAGCUGAGAUCACACCACUGCACUCCAGACCGGGUGAUGGAGCAAGACUCCGUCUCAGAAAAAAAAAAAAAAAAAUGCAGCAGAAGUAACACUCUGGGACAUCAAAUGCUAGGUCAGAAGAAGCCUGCAGUUUCUGUCUGUUUAGGUCUCUUGGAACACUUGUUCUUGGAGCCUAGCCACCAUGCUGUCAGGAAGCCCACACAGUCCCAGAGAGAGGCUCCCUUGCCAGCCAGUACCAACUUGUAGUCAUGUGAGGAUCCUGGAAGUUGGAUCCUCCAAUUGACAGUUCAUCCUGGGAGCAGAUGAAACAUACCUGCUAAUCUCUGCCCAAAUACCAGACCCUUGAGCAAAAUAAAUGACUUUUAUUGUUUUUUAAGCUAUGUAAUUUUUAAAAAAUAACUUUAUGUUAUAACUUACAUACCAUAGAAUUCAACCAUAUAAGUGUACACUUGGGUGAUCUUUAGUACGUUUUAAAAGUUGUGCAACCAUUACCAC
RNAcentral lists this long non-coding RNA (4993 nucleotides) under Homo sapiens (human). RNAcentral's name for it is "HSALNT0120881". Lineage: Eukaryota; Metazoa; Chordata; Mammalia; Primates; Hominidae. The record is from RNAcentral.